Molecule: ribosomal RNA, 1402 nt
Filed under: Limnonectes taylori
Lineage: Eukaryota; Metazoa; Chordata; Amphibia; Anura; Dicroglossidae
Description: partial 16S rRNA
Rfam family: Bacterial large subunit ribosomal RNA
Source: RNAcentral
CCAAAAAUUAAGCCUAUUUACCCUUUAUAAAAACCACACUCAACUAAACCACAAUAAAACAUUUUAUCAGUUUAGUAAAGGCGAUUAAAAAACUUUCUAGCGCUAUACUUUUAGUACCGCAAGGGAAAAAUGAAAUAGUUUUGAAAUAGUCUUUAAGCAAAAAACAGCAGAGACUAUUACUCGUACCUUUUGCAUCAUGGUUUAGCCAGUCUUGUUCAAGCAAAGCGAAACAUCAGUUUGACCCCCCGAAACUAGGCGAGCUACUUUAAAACAGCUUAAUAGAGCCAACCCGUCUCUGUCGCAAAAGAGUGGGAUGAUUUUUAAGUAGAGGUGAAAAGCCUACCGAGCUUAGAGAUAGCUGGUUAUUCAGGAAAAGAAUUUUAGUUCGACCUUAAGUUUAUUUAUUAUUUAAAAAAACCCCCUUAAACUUAAGAGCUAUUCAAAUAAGGCACAGCUUAUUUGAAAAAGGAUACAACCUAUUAAAAAGGGUAAAAAAAUUUAUACAUGACAAGUGGGCCUAGAAGCAGCCACCUUUAAGAAAGCGUUUAAGCUCCUCUUUCCCCUCACCUUAAUUCCUUAAUAUGCCUUUAACCCUUUAUUUAUACUGAAUGGUUCUAUACUAUAUAGAAACCCCCCUGCUAAAACUAGUAACAAGAAAUUGAUUUUUCUCCAAAAUAUAUAUAUAAACCAAAAUGGACAAACCAUUGGUUAUUAACGUCAAUAAAACAAUAUAGCAACUUCACUAGAAAACACUAUUAAUCCAUACGUUAACCUUACACAAGUAUAUUUCUGGAAAGAUUAAAAGAAAGAGAAGGAACUCGGCAAAUCAUAACCCCGCCUGUUUACCAAAAACAUCGCCUCUUGAAUAACCAUAAGAGGUCCAGCCUGCCCAGUGAUAUAAUUUAACGGCCGCGGUACCCUGACCGUGCAAAGGUAGCAUAAUCACUUGUUCUCUAAAUAAGGACUAGUAUCAACGGCAUCACGAGGGUUAUACUGUCUCCUCUUUUUAAUCAGUGAAAUUGACCUCUCCGUGAAGAGGCGGGGAUAAUUAUACAAGACGAGAAGACCCCAUGGAGCUUUAAACCCAAUAACAGCCCACACAAGUUUUAUCCUAAAAUGAAAAAGCAAUGUUUAUUGGUUUUAGGUUGGGGUGACCACGGAGAAAAACCAAACCUCCACGAUGAAUGGACCUUAAUCCUAAUCUACGAGAUACUACUCCAAGAAUCAAUAAUUUGACAUAAUAUGAUCCGACAACGAUCAACGAACCAAGUUACCCUGGGGAUAACAGCGCAAUCCAUUUCAAGAGCCCCUAUCGACAAAUGGGUUUACGACCUCGAUGUUGGAUCAGGGUAUCCUAGUGGUGCAGCCGCUACUAAAGGUUUGUUUGUUCAACAAUUAAAAC